UGGCUGUAACCAGAAUCCUUAUAUUUUAGGUACAGACUUUUAUUUUUAAUAGUUUUCCUAUUAAGACUUCUGGAUUCUCCAAAACACAGCCUAAUGAAGUGAGGAGACACCCGUGUUUGAGUUUCUGCUGGUCUCAGCAGGUAAAUACCAGUGUGCACUGAGUCUGUUUACUUACCUGAAAAAGGAAAAAUGACCAUCCCUAGCUUACAGGACCCUUGUGUAGAAUAAUGAAAUACAAAAUGUGGCAUACAGUGAAUGACUUGUCAAUAAAUAGUAUAUGAAAUGGCAAAUUGACCUGAUGGGAAUAUGUUGACCACAUGGCUAUAUUAUAUACAGAGAGUGGAUACACACAGGGGUUUGCAUAAAUCUUUCUGUGUGUGUGUGUCUGUCUGUCUGUCUGUCUGAGUAGUUUCAGAACCUUGGCACUGAAUGAGGCUUCUGUCAAACCCUUGAAGAACUUAUCUUUUUUUCUGAUCUGAAAUUGACUUCCUCAAACUGAGAUCCUAUGUGAUCGUCUUAUAAAAUUCUUGGGACCCAUUCAUCUUGUGCCAACUCUGAAUAAAAUAUAUUGAGGAAGCCCCUGAGGAGACAGAGGGAUAGUUGUUAUUCCUAUAGUUUCGCAAAUGCACCCAGCUCAUUGAUUUAAGCAUAGCUUAACCUUUGAAGAAUGUGGGUUCUCCCUAGCAGUAGCAUUCUCCAGCAAGCUCAGAGUAGGCAGCAAAAUUAGAGCUUGACCACGUACAAAGGACUUUCCUACGUAUCACUCAGCUCAGUGGCUUUCUGCCUGGGGUUCAAUGACAAAGAACUGUGUCCACUCAUCAUCAUGAUCAUUGCCAAGUCUUUUCUUUCAUUUAUUCCAGGGAUCAAAAGUCACGUGGGUCAGAUUUGAAUUUCUCAGUGUCAAAGAAUUAACCAGUACCCUCUGGUGGAGGGCAGCUAGAAGACACUGUAAGGCAAGAAGAGAAAAGCAAGAUCUGAAGACAUCAAUAGAAAACAGGACCAUGAGAAUUCGCUCCAUUUCCUCUACACUCCAGUGGUCUGUCGUCUUGGCUCCGUGAGGUCAGAGGAGUGCUCAUUUUGGAGAAGCUGGCUUAGCAACAAGCCCCUUCUCUGAGAACUGGCCCAGGAACAGCCCUGCUGGAGGAGCAGCCACACGAACCACAUCCGGUCCUGGACCAGCGGGGCACUAGCCGCCACUACCCACUCAUCUCCAGAAUUGCAACCCAAAGAGGUGGAGACAGCAUUACCUGGUCGUGGGCUUCUGGCUU
This 1268-nucleotide long non-coding RNA is filed under the name Macaca mulatta (Rhesus monkey). RNAcentral's name for it is "lncRNA (ENSMMUG00000058810.1)". Lineage: Eukaryota; Metazoa; Chordata; Mammalia; Primates; Cercopithecidae. The record is from RNAcentral.